This 2905-nucleotide ribosomal RNA is filed under the name Escherichia coli. Its description in RNAcentral is "23S ribosomal RNA". It matches the Rfam family "Bacterial large subunit ribosomal RNA". The record is from RNAcentral. Lineage: Bacteria; Pseudomonadati; Pseudomonadota; Gammaproteobacteria; Enterobacterales; Enterobacteriaceae.
GUUAAGCGACUAAGCGUACACGGUGGAUGCCCUGGCAGUCAGAGGCGAUGAAGGACGUGCUAAUCUGCGAUAAGCGUCGGUAAGGUGAUAUGAACCGUUAUAACCGGCGAUUUCCGAAUGGGGAAACCCAGUGUGAUUCGUCACACUAUCAUUAACUGAAUCCAUAGGUUAAUGAGGCGAACCGGGGGAACUGAAACAUCUAAGUACCCCGAGGAAAAGAAAUCAACCGAGAUUCCCCCAGUAGCGGCGAGCGAACGGGGAGGAGCCCAGAGCCUGAAUCAGUGUGUGUGUUAGUGGAAGCGUCUGGAAAGGCGCGCGAUACAGGGUGACAGCCCCGUACACAAAAAUACACAUGCUGUGAGCUCGAUGAGUAGGGCGGGACACGUGGUAUCCUGUCUGAAUAUGGGGGGACCAUCCUCCAAGGCUAAAUACUCCUGACUGACCGAUAGUGAACCAGUACCGUGAGGGAAAGGCGAAAAGAACCCCGGCGAGGGGAGUGAAAAAGAACCUGAAACCGUGUACGUACAAGCAGUGGGAGCACAGAGCAAUCUGUGUGACUGCGUACCUUUUGUAUAAUGGGUCAGCGACUUAUAUUCUGUAGCAAGGUUAACCGAAUAGGGGAGCCGAAGGGAAACCGAGUCUUAACUGGGCGUUAAGUUGCAGGGUAUAGACCCGAAACCCGGUGAUCUAGCCAUGGGCAGGUUGAAGGUUGGGUAACACUAACUGGAGGACCGAACCGACUAAUGUUGAAAAAUUAGCGGAUGACUUGUGGCUGGGGGUGAAAGGCCAAUCAAACCGGGAGAUAGCUGGUUCUCCCCGAAAGCUAUUUAGGUAGCGCCUCGUGAAUUCAUCUCCGGGGGUAGAGCACUGUUUCGGCAAGGGGGUCAUCCCGACUUACCAACCCGAUGCAAACUGCGAAUACCGGAGAAUGUUAUCACGGGAGACACACGGCGGGUGCUAACGUCCGUCGUGAAGAGGGAAACAACCCAGACCGCCAGCUAAGGUCCCAAAGUCAUGGUUAAGUGGGAAACGAUGUGGGAAGGCCCAGACAGCCAGGAUGUUGGCUUAGAAGCAGCCAUCAUUUAAAGAAAGCGUAAUAGCUCACUGGUCGAGUCGGCCUGCGCGGAAGAUGUAACGGGGCUAAACCAUGCACCGAAGCUGCGGCAGCGACGCUUAUGCGUUGUUGGGUAGGGGAGCGUUCUGUAAGCCUGCGAAGGUGUGCUGUGAGGCAUGCUGGAGGUAUCAGAAGUGCGAAUGCUGACAUAAGUAACGAUAAAGCGGGUGAAAAGCCCGCUCGCCGGAAGACCAAGGGUUCCUGUCCAACGUUAAUCGGGGCAGGGUGAGUCGACCCCUAAGGCGAGGCCGAAAGGCGUAGUCGAUGGGAAACAGGUUAAUAUUCCUGUACUUGGUGUUACUGCGAAGGGGGGACGGAGAAGGCUAUGUUGGCCGGGCGACGGUUGUCCCGGUUUAAGCGUGUAGGCUGGUUUUCCAGGCAAAUCCGGAAAAUCAAGGCUGAGGCGUGAUGACGAGGCACUACGGUGCUGAAGCAACAAAUGCCCUGCUUCCAGGAAAAGCCUCUAAGCAUCAGGUAACAUCAAAUCGUACCCCAAACCGACACAGGUGGUCAGGUAGAGAAUACCAAGGCGCUUGAGAGAACUCGGGUGAAGGAACUAGGCAAAAUGGUGCCGUAACUUCGGGAGAAGGCACGCUGAUAUGUAGGUGAAGCGACUUGCUCGUGGAGCUGAAAUCAGUCGAAGAUACCAGCUGGCUGCAACUGUUUAUUAAAAACACAGCACUGUGCAAACACGAAAGUGGACGUAUACGGUGUGACGCCUGCCCGGUGCCGGAAGGUUAAUUGAUGGGGUCAGCGCAAGCGAAGCUCUUGAUCGAAGCCCCGGUAAACGGCGGCCGUAACUAUAACGGUCCUAAGGUAGCGAAAUUCCUUGUCGGGUAAGUUCCGACCUGCACGAAUGGCGUAAUGAUGGCCAGGCUGUCUCCACCCGAGACUCAGUGAAAUUGAACUCGCUGUGAAGAUGCAGUGUACCCGCGGCAAGACGGAAAGACCCCGUGAACCUUUACUAUAGCUUGACACUGAACAUUGAGCCUUGAUGUGUAGGAUAGGUGGGAGGCUUUGAAGUGUGGACGCCAGUCUGCAUGGAGCCGACCUUGAAAUACCACCCUUUAAUGUUUGAUGUUCUAACGUGGACCCGUAAUCCGGGUUGCGGACAGUGUCUGGUGGGUAGUUUGACUGGGGCGGUCUCCUCCUAAAGAGUAACGGAGGAGCACGAAGGUUGGCUAAUCCUGGUCGGACAUCAGGAGGUUAGUGCAAUGGCAUAAGCCAGCUUGACUGCGAGCGUGACGGCGCGAGCAGGUGCGAAAGCAGGUCAUAGUGAUCCGGUGGUUCUGAAUGGAAGGGCCAUCGCUCAACGGAUAAAAGGUACUCCGGGGAUAACAGGCUGAUACCGCCCAAGAGUUCAUAUCGACGGCGGUGUUUGGCACCUCGAUGUCGGCUCAUCACAUCCUGGGGCUGAAGUAGGUCCCAAGGGUAUGGCUGUUCGCCAUUUAAAGUGGUACGCGAGCUGGGUUUAGAACGUCGUGAGACAGUUCGGUCCCUAUCUGCCGUGGGCGCUGGAGAACUGAGGGGGGCUGCUCCUAGUACGAGAGGACCGGAGUGGACGCAUCACUGGUGUUCGGGUUGUCAUGCCAAUGGCACUGCCCGGUAGCUAAAUGCGGAAGAGAUAAGUGCUGAAAGCAUCUAAGCACGAAACUUGCCCCGAGAUGAGUUCUCCCUGACUCCUUGAGAGUCCUGAAGGAACGUUGAAGACGACGACGUUGAUAGGCCGGGUGUGUAAGCGCAGCGAUGCGUUGAGCUAACCGGUACUAAUGAACCGUGAGGCUUAACCUU